GUCGAGCAGAGAGAGCUGCUUUUUCAUGAAACGGGAGUAAAGUAGUAAACUUAGGAACAAAUACCACUACCAACGUUUGGAUCGAUAUCUGCAUCGAUCUGCACACCCUUGUCUCCUGGAUUGUAGCUCAGAUCAGCGUGAACCACGUGGGUCUCUGCUCUCUGAUCUGUUUCUUAAGACUUCCAGCUUCAUCACGGAGUUUCUCUCGGUUUGUGGGCUCAUCUAAAGGGCGUUUUGCCUGGUCCGUCUGUAACCUGAAAAUGUCCAGCAUAUCACGCAUAUUGAGGGACAUUGCCAGUGAGAUGGAGCGGAGGGCAGAGACUGUUUCGUCGACAGAAGAACUCUCAUCAUCAUCCGUGCCGUCAAGACACCCUGUUGACGCUGAAGUGUGCAGAAUAUUUGCCUCAUAUGGUAACAGGGUCCCUGGCAACCCUUCCAUUGCUGCACGACGUCGAUCUACAUACACAAGAGCCUAUUUCUGUUUGUCCAAGAUUGAUCAGACUAUAGCACCGACUAGAGAAGAAAAAGAAUUUCUUAGUGCUGCUGGCCUAGGGGAGCAGAGAAUUACUUUUUUUGGUGAUGAAGGCAGUGCAGAGGAAUUUCGAAGUCACAUUCUGGUUGCCUACCCAAAACUAAAUGGCUGUGGAGGGUUUGAGCUUUUAAAAGUUUCUGGGUUAACAAGGAGCAAAAAGCUCUCUGUGAUACCUUGCCCAAGGACAGGGUAUACCAUAAAGUCUGUCAGGAUACAUAUCAAACACUCCCUCAUCUACAUCCGUCCGAUGCAAAAGAAUAUCGACACAACUCCUGUAGAACAUCAGACUGGCGGUUAUGGUCCCAAGGAAAAAUGUCUGACGUGUUCAGAAGAAUUCUUUUUCAGUGAACUGAAGGAUCAUGUCAAACACUGCAAGUCUCCAAAUGAGAUCGACACAGCAUUACCUGAAAUUUGCCAUCCAGUGAGCCCAGAAUUUCCUUUUCCGACUAGUCCAGACAGAGAUAACUCAUCCUCUGAUACAGGAAUCAUUGACUUAACAGAUGACCAAGUUCCGGAGUCCUUGGAAGAAUGGAGAGCCAUGCGUUCCCAGCAGGAUCAAGAGUACCAAGACUGCUUGCUUGCAGAUCAAGAGAAGUCUGACUUACAGAAAAAGUCGGCUGAAAUGGAAGAGAGACGGAUAAAGGCCAUAUCUGAGAGGCAGUUGAGACUGAUUGGUGUUCCAGAGCAAGCUCAUGGCAUACCACUCAGAUUUAAAUACCCUAGCGGCAUUACCAGAACAAGGCGAUUUGUCCUAACUGAAUCCAUUCAGAUAUUGUUUGACUUUGUCGGAGAAGAUGAAGAUGCCACAGAAUAUUUUCAUAUUCAAGAUGCUCUCUCAGUAACUAGACUCAACAGCAACAUGUCUGGCACCUUUCUGGAUAAUAACAUCAUAAGGUCACAAACACUGUAUGUCCACUGGAUUCAACCUGAGUCUCCAGAGUUUGUUCCUGCACUUGAUUACAACAAUCAUGAAGUAGCUCCAAGCUUUAACAACAUGUCUUGUUCCCCAUUGACUGAUUCUCCUCCUGCUCAUGGGCGAUCUUUCUCUCCCAAGAGGGCUGACCUUAAAACCAUUCUGAAUGGACUUUGGGCGAAGAUUGAUAACACUUCAUGCCCCACGAGUAAUCAGAUCAACAUAUGCAGAGACUACACUGGCAAUGUCCACAACAUAAUGAAAAGUACCUUGCAGGCCUUCAGACGCCGACGUUUCAAUCCUGCGGCAAGAUUGGAUGUUGUUUUUGUUGACAGUGAAAAAACAUCUGAAGGUGCAGUAGAUGGUGGUGGUCCCACAAGAGAGUAUUUGAGGUUGCUGAUGAAGGCCAUUCAUCAGUCUAACAUAUUUGAAGGACCGGAGAAGGACAAGAGAUUGACCCUCGACACUCAUGGUACACCAAUAAAUUAAUUAAUUUAUUUUUGUAAAUGCAUUUUAAUUUGACAAUUAAUUAUGCUUUGGUUAUGUUUGAUAGUGACACCUCACAGGAAAGCUAAAAUGAUCUUUGAAAUGUAUUUGAUUUCAACUUUUCAUUCUGUUACACAUUUUGCUCUGUUUCACUUUUGGGAAUUGAUGAGCAAUUUGUAUUUCUAUGUUCACCUGUUUU
This is a long non-coding RNA of Oreochromis aureus, 2130 nucleotides long. NCBI's taxonomy places the organism in Eukaryota, Metazoa, Chordata, Actinopteri, Cichliformes, Cichlidae. The record is from Ensembl.